CCUUAUCAAUCGGGCGACGGUUCCCCGCAAGGGGAUUGAAUGGGAAUGCGGUAAGGGGUCAUCGGACCCCAAAUCCGCGGCUGCCCCCGCAACUGUAGUCGGUGAGCUGAAGGCCAAGAAACCACUGGGAAACCGGGAAGGUGGCCUGACGCUGAGACCCGAGAGCCAGGAGACCUGCCGUCGAGAAUGCUGUUAU
Molecule: non-coding RNA, 196 nt
Filed under: Bradyrhizobium erythrophlei
Lineage: Bacteria; Pseudomonadati; Pseudomonadota; Alphaproteobacteria; Hyphomicrobiales; Nitrobacteraceae
Source: RNAcentral